RNAcentral lists this ribosomal RNA (1062 nucleotides) under Escherichia coli. Its description in RNAcentral is "partial 23S ribosomal RNA". It matches the Rfam family "Bacterial large subunit ribosomal RNA", at positions 418 to 1486 of the family's 2925-position model. The record is from RNAcentral. Lineage: Bacteria; Pseudomonadati; Pseudomonadota; Gammaproteobacteria; Enterobacterales; Enterobacteriaceae.
CGGGACACGUGGUAUCCUGUCUGAAUAUGGGGGGACCAUCCUCCAAGGCUAAAUACUCCUGACUGACCGAUAGUGAACCAGUACCGUGAGGGAAAGGCGAAAAGAACCCCGGCGAGGGGAGUGAAAAAGAACCUGAAACCGUGUACGUACAAGCAGUGGGAGCCUCUUAAUGGGGUGACUGCGUACCUUUUGUAUAAUGGGUCAGCGACUUAUAUUCUGUAGCAAGGUUAACCGAAUAGGGGAGCCGAAGGGAAACCGAGUCUUAACUGGGCGUUAAGUUGCAGGGUAUAGACCCGAAACCCGGUGAUCUAGCCAUGGGCAGGUUGAAGGUUGGGUAACACUAACUGGAGGACCGAACCGACUAAUGUUGAAAAAUUAGCGGAUGACUUGUGGCUGGGGGUGAAAGGCCAAUCAAACCGGGAGAUAGCUGGUUCUCCCCGAAAGCUAUUUAGGUAGCGCCUCGUGAAUUCAUCUCCGGGGGUAGAGCACUGUUUCGGCAAGGGGGUCAUCCCGACUUACCAACCCGAUGCAAACUGCGAAUACCGGAGAAUGUUAUCACGGGAGACACACGGCGGGUGCUAACGUCCGUCGUGAAGAGGGAAACAACCCAGACCGCCAGCUAAGGUCCCAAAGUCAUGGUUAAGUGGGAAACGAUGUGGGAAGGCCCAGACAGCCAGGAUGUUGGCUUAGAAGCAGCCAUCAUUUAAAGAAAGCGUAAUAGCUCACUGGUCGAGUCGGCCUGCGCGGAAGAUGUAACGGGGCUAAACCAUGCACCGAAGCUGCGGCAGCGACACUAUGUGUUGUUGGGUAGGGGAGCGUUCUGUAAGCCUGUGAAGGUGGCCUGUGAGGGUUGCUGGAGGUAUCAGAAGUGCGAAUGCUGACAUAAGUAACGAUAAAGCGGGUGAAAAGCCCGCUCGCCGGAAGACCAAGGGUUCCUGUCCAACGUUAAUCGGGGCAGGGUGAGUCGACCCCUAAGGCGAGGCCGAAAGGCGUAGUCGAUGGGAAACAGGUUAAUAUUCCUGUACUUGGUGUUACUGCGAAGGGGGGACGGAGAAGGCUAUG